Molecule: ribosomal RNA, 1461 nt
Filed under: metagenome
Description: bacterial SSU rRNA
Rfam family: Bacterial small subunit ribosomal RNA
Source: RNAcentral
GGAGUUUGAUCCUGGCUCAGGAUGAACGCUGGCGGCGUGCCUAACACAUGCAAGUCGAGCGAUUUACUUCGGUAAAGAGCGGCGGACGGGUGAGUAACGCGUGGGUAACCUGCCCUGUACACACGGAUAACAUACCGAAAGGUAUGCUAAUACGAGAUAAUAUACUCUUAUCGCAUGGUAGAAGUAUCAAAGCUCCGGCGGUACAGGAUGGACCCGCGUCUGAUUAGCUAGUUGGUAAGGUAACGGCUUACCAAGGCGACGAUCAGUAGCCGACCUGAGAGGGUGAUCGGCCACAUUGAAACUGAGACACGGUCCAAACUCCUACGGGAGGCAGCAGUGGGGAAUAUUGCACAAUGGGCGAAAGCCUGAUGCAGCAACGCCGCGUGAGCGAUGAAGGCCUUCGGGUCGUAAAGCUCUGUCCUCAAGGAAGAUAAUGACGGUACUUGAGGAGGAAGCCCCGGCUAACUACGUGCCAGCAGCCGCGGUAAUACGUAGGGGGCUAGCGUUAUCCGGAAUUACUGGGCGUAAAGGGUGCGUAGGUGGUUUCUUAAGUCAGAGGUGAAAGGCUACGGCUCAACCGUAGUAAGCCUUUGAAACUGGGAAACUUGAGUGCAGGAGAGGAGAGUGGAAUUCCUAGUGUAGCGGUGAAAUGCGUAGAUAUUAGGAGGAACACCAGUUGCGAAGGCGGCUCUCUGGACUGUAACUGACACUGAGGCACGAAAGCGUGGGGAGCAUACAGGAUUAGAUACCCUGGUAGUCCACGCCGUAAACGAUGAGUACUAGCUGUCGGAGGUUACCCCCUUCGGUGGCGCAGCUAACGCAUUAAGUACUCCGCCUGGGAAGUACGCUCGCAAGAGUGAAACUCAAAGGAAUUGACGGGGACCCGCACAAGUAGCGGAGCAUGUGGUUUAAUUCGAAGCAACGCGAAGAACCUUACCUAAGCUUGACAUCCUUUUGACCGAUGCCUAAUCGCAUCUUUCCCUUCGGGGACAGAAGUGACAGGUGGUGCAUGGUUGUCGUCAGCUCGUGUCGUGAGAUGUUGGGUUAAGUCCCACAACGAGCGCAACCCUUGCCUUUAGUUGCCAGCAUUAAGUUGGGCACUCUAGAGGGACUGCCAGGGAUAACCUGGAGGAAGGUGGGGAUGACGUCAAAUCAUCAUGCCCCUUAUGCUUAGGGCUACACACGUGCUACAAUGGGUGGUACAGAGGGCAGCCAAGUCGUGAGGCGGAGCUAAUCCCUUAAAGCCAUUCUCAGUUCGGAUUGUAGGCUGAAACUCGCCUACAUGAAGCUGGAGUUACUAGUAAUCGCAGAUCAGAAUGCUGCGGUGAAUGCGUUCCCGGGUCUUGUACACACCGCCCGUCACACCACGGGAGUUGGGGGCGCCCGAAGCCGGAUUGCUAACCUUUUGGAAGCGUCCGUCGAAGGUGAAAUCAAUAACUGGGGUGAAGUCGUAACAAGGUA